UAAAAGUGAUCAUGCACGUAUUUUUAGUGAUGAUACAUAGUUGUAAGUAGAUAAUUGGUUGGUGACGUUAUAUAAAUAAAACUAAAUGUACAUUAUUGAUGUCAACAUCUUAAAAUAACAAUGAUUGUGGCUAACAAUACAUCUUUAGUAAUUACGUAAAAUUGUAAUAAAAAAGUGUAGCAUAUAUAUAGUGGUGAUAAAUAAUUGUCACUAAAACAUUUUGUUUAGUUGCAA
Molecule: long non-coding RNA, 234 nt
Filed under: Vitis vinifera (wine grape)
Lineage: Eukaryota; Viridiplantae; Streptophyta; Magnoliopsida; Vitales; Vitaceae
Description: long non-coding RNA (VVIN_LNC003152)
Source: RNAcentral